UGGGCUAUAAGUUAAGAAGACUGGGAGUUUUCAGGGCUCCAAGUAAGGCUGUUCUUUGGCCCAG
RNAcentral lists this transfer RNA (64 nucleotides) under Gari togata. Its description in RNAcentral is "tRNA-Trp". Lineage: Eukaryota; Metazoa; Mollusca; Bivalvia; Cardiida; Psammobiidae. The record is from RNAcentral.